This 745-nucleotide ribosomal RNA is filed under the name uncultured bacterium. Its description in RNAcentral is "bacterial SSU rRNA". It matches the Rfam family "Bacterial small subunit ribosomal RNA", at positions 1 to 719 of the family's 1533-position model. The record is from RNAcentral.
UUCGCCCUUAGAGUUUGAUCCUGGCUCAGGGCGAACGCUGGCGGCGUGCCUAACACAUGCAAGUCGUGGGAGAAAGCCUCCUUCGGGAGGUGAGUACACCGGCGGAUGGGUGCGUAACACGUGAGCAACCUGCCUGGCAGAGGGGGAUAACUCGGGGAAACCCGGGCUAAUACCCCAUAACGUGUCUUCUUCGCAUGGAGAGGUCACCAAAGGGGGCGAUCCUUCGGGAGCUCUCACUGUCAGAUGGGCUCGCGGCUUAUCAGCUUGUUGGUGAGGUAACGGCUCACCAAGGCUAUGACGGGUAGCUGGUCUUAGCGGAUGAUCAGCCACACGGGGACUGAGACACGGCCCCGACUCCUACGGGAGGCAGCAGUGGGGAAUUUUGGACAAUGGGCGAAAGCCUGAUCCAGCGACGCCGCGUGCGGGAGGAAGCCCUUCGGGGUGUAAACCGCUGUCAGGGGGGAAGAACCGGUCCGGGCGAAUAGCCCGGAAAACUGACGGUACCCCCAGAGGAAGCGCCGGCUAACUCCGUGCCAGCAGCCGCGGUAAUACGGAGGGCGCAAGCGUUGUCCGGAAUUACUGGGCGUAAAGGGGGCGCAGGUGGCUUGGUAAGUCCUAUGUGAAAGCCCGCGGCUCAACCGCGGAAUGCCAUAGGAUACUGCCGAGCUUGAGACGGGUAGAGGCGAGUGGAAUUCCCGGUGUAGCGGUGGAAUGCGUAGAUAUCGGGAAGAACACCAGUGGCGAA